Long non-coding RNA from Canis lupus familiaris (dog), 2507 nucleotides. RefSeq lists it as uncharacterized. The record is from RefSeq and is a predicted model, not a curated record. The transcript has 3 exons. NCBI's taxonomy places the organism in Eukaryota, Metazoa, Chordata, Mammalia, Carnivora, Canidae.
GCCCAGGGAAGGCGGCGGCGGGGGCGGUGGGUCCCAGGUCGCUCCGCAGGACAAGCCCUUCGGGGGUCACUGUCACCUAGGCCAUAGCAGGACAGAGAUAGAGAAAUUCAUGCAGGUGAAUUCAAGGAUGGAGGUGAUCUGCUGUUGAUAGCAACAAAGGAACCUGGGAACAAGACUCCAUGAUGCCAUCCAGUGCCUUCCAACUUGGACAAUGCUCUUGCCUUUGCAAAAUGUGACAUGCAAAACUUUCCUGGGCAUGUUGGCCAGCUUCCCUGCGGGCAGUAUGGAGACCUGAGAAAACUUUCUUUAGACUUCAAGGCUUUUCUGCAGCUAGGGCCUGAAGACAUUCUGAUCACAGCACCCAAGCCAGGCCCUGAGGGUUGACCUCCUACAGAUGUUAUGAUGGGGGUCUGCACUUCUGUUGACAUUACUAGGAGUGAGGGAGCCUGGGGAGAUGGCAGUUCUACACAGGGUUACAGGGGCAAGAAGGCAUGAGGACAGAGCCCCCGAAGGAGAGAGGGGAGCCAAAGUAGAGAGGCAGUGUCAGCUCUGCCUGCAGACCCUGAAGCUACACAAGACUCCUCUGUUGAGUUCUCACCAACACCUGUUCUGUGACAGCUGCAGACCCAGGCAUGAGUACCCACAACUGGCCCCUGGGCCUCUGGGACUAGAUGCAGGAGAGAAACGGGCAAGCUCUGGGAUUUCUGGACAGGGCCUGGGGUGGGGGGCGUGGUCCACAGCACCUCAUUUGGGGUCCUCCUGAGGGAGAGCAGACAAAUGCAAAGCCACAGGCCAGAUGGACACAUGGUAAAAUGGAGAAAUCCUCAAUUACCAACUGAGCGAGAGAAGUGAGGCAGACAGAGACGUGCAGCACAAUGACAUUUAUGUACAACAAAAACACAGGUGUGUGAGAAGACAAUGUGCACUGGCAGGACAUGUGCAGGGAAGAGGUUUGCUCGGAUGGCCUGGGCGCUGCUGAUCGGGAGAGGGAACGGGACAGGAGCGGGUGUGUGUGGGGGGGGUGGGAGCAGGGCUGGGUGGAUGCGACACUCUGAGUCCAAAAGGAAAAAGAAGCGCCAUCCUGGGCACCGGGCCACGGAGUCACUGGCCAGAACCCAAACCCGGCAUCUGCUCCCCCCAACCGGCAGCCACUCGCUCUUAGGGGUGAGGCCCGUCCCCUCACCUUCCUGCUGCGACAUCUGUGUGAGGUCCUCCACCAGGCUAGCGGCCUCUCUGCAGGUGCGAGGACCCUGCGACUGCACCCAGGUCCUCAUCUUGCUGGGCAGCGCACCCAGGAACUGCUCCAGCACCAGCAACUCCAGCAUUUGCUCCUUGGAGUGCGCCUCAGGCCGCAGCCACUGGCGGCACAGCAUCCAGAGCUGGCCCAGUGCACGGUGUGGCCCACCUGCCACGCGGUACUGGAACUGUCGGAAACGCAGGCGCCAGGCCUCAGCAUCCCCGGGGCUGGCCAGCUGAGAAGCCCUGUCCUGCUCCCCCAGGGCUGAGGUCUGGGGACUCCUGGGGGAGGCAAGGGCUUUGGCCAAUGGGAGCAUCUCUCCGGCCUCAGAGGGCAAGCAGGCUGGAUCCCAGGACAGUCCCAGCAGCUCCAAACACAGGUAGCAGCAGGCAGAUGCAGUCAGCAGUCAGGGGCCUGCAGAGAGGGGCAGGCGCAAAGUGGCCACAUCAGAUGGUGGCCAACACCUUGCUCAGGACUCCCCUCAGCUCCCCACCUCCUUGCCCUGACCCCCAGUUACAAGUUGCUGACCUGAGCCCUCCCCAUCUCAUUCUGACCUAAUCUUCCAUAUGACCCUCAUGGGCUACAUUGUGUUGAAGACGAGGAACUGGUCACCACAGAGUCUUACCCACUGUUCCCACCCAUACUCCUCUCUGAUGUUGAUCCCAGCUCAGCUGUUACCACAGCAGGAUGCCACCAUGCUCUGGCUCAGGCUGUCACACUUAUCUCAUCUUCACUGUGCUGUCUUCAUGACUCUUACCUGAUCGGGAACAGAUCUCAUUUCCUUACUUAGCUUAGUGUACAUCUCCCUCCUUCAUUUAUUUAGUCAUUAACAGUUUCCUGAGCAUCCAAGGGAAUAGGAUUCCUGCCUUGGUGGAGUAACCAGCACUGUCCAGCAGAACUUCCUAUGGGGUCGGAAAUGCUCUCCAUCUAUAUCAUCCAGUUUGGUAGCCACCGGCUGUAUUAUGUGGCUCCUGAGCACUUGAAAUAAGGAACUAGACCCAGCCAGAUAUGCUAUGUAAUAGUGCAAUAGAGGCCCUCUGCCUGGCUAUGCUGUCUUUCUUGCCUUUUCUACCAAGUUAAGACUGAAGGAGGAGGUAGUUGAGGACAAGGGGGUAGAGACUUUAAAAGCAGAGGGAAAGUGGGAAGGGCAGUGGAAAAAAAUAGCAUUUUGUGCGUUUUCCAAGCUUCCUACGCUGAACAUAUAACUGAAGAAAAUUUUGAAAAUGUUAAAGUUGUAAAAAUUAAAAUGAGAUUUUUUUCUAUACUUGUA